AAGUAGGCAUUCAACGAUAUGAAACCUAAUUCAACCUUGAAGAAUAAACCAAAAAUGGACUGCCGUUUUUAUGCAUGUGAAGAGGGUUUUGUCAAGCUCCUAACUCACCUGCAUUAUAAUAGCCAACAACUUGCAAUGACCCAAUAAUUGUGACUCCGAAAUGUCCUUUACUGUUCAAGGGAAGGACGAAGAGUACAACAAUCUUUAAUGGAUUUACUAGCCAAAGCAAAGCGAUCCAAAGUUGAAAAAAGAAAUGCAGUAAAGUCACGAAGGGGGCCUCUAUGAUGUGUCUUCUAGUGGCACAUGCUGAGAGAAAUGAGAGAUUCCCUUCAGAAUGGGACUCUUUCCCCGUUGAAUUCUUCUCAAAGUAACAAUCAUUUCCCGUUUUACUUUGAAUUUUUUUUAUACUAUUUCUCCCCAUCCUUUUGCAGGCUGCAAUAGUUUACAUUGCUUUAAAUCGGGAAUUGAAGUGUGAGAUCAAUAAAAACACUAUCUUUCUAUUAUUCUAAUCAUUGGAUCAGCAGCAGGACUGCUUGAAAGAAGAAUAUGCUUUGGGGAUAUCGGCCAAAACAAUGGCAGUGUGUCACCUUCACCUAUCCCACUUAAUACCCAAACUCUAACUUCAUAUUUGAAGAUCAACCAUUGAAGCAUAGUUUUUCAAAUUGAAAGUUGAGCCGUAGAAAAGAAAACAAGGUCUUAUUUGUUUUUUAUUACAAAAAAAAAAAAAAAAAAAGCACCAAAAGAUUACGAAAAGCUUGUUGGUGCAAAGCUUUCAAAGGUCAUGUCAUGUGUGGAUUUCGGAGUAAUAUAUAUUUGGAGGACCACUGCUGCUAGGAAGGUGUGAUGAAACCUAACCUCACUGAAAUGAAACUCACCAUUAUGAAACCCAACGUCCUAUCGCCCUAUCUGUUUCACAGACUAUAAAUCUUGCGCAUGGCCACAGUUGGACAGCUUAUAUGUAUAGGCUUUGCCUUUUAGUUUUCUCUUAGCCUUUCGGCUUCACCCUAACAUCUAAUGAAUCUAAGCACGGAAGGAAGAUGUAGUUUUUGGUUCAAGCUUUAAUGGGGAAUUAGUGUUUACUUUUUCAUUUUUAAAAGCUUGAUGGUGCAACUCUGUGUUUUCUGCUUUUUGUUAUUUUAAUGCUGCCAAAUACAA
Molecule: long non-coding RNA, 1155 nt
Organism: Gossypium arboreum
Lineage: Eukaryota; Viridiplantae; Streptophyta; Magnoliopsida; Malvales; Malvaceae
Exons: 2
Source: RefSeq, a predicted model, not a curated record